UUUAUUGGAGAGUUUGAUCCUGGCUCAGGAUGAACGCUGGCGGCGUGCCUAAUACAUGCAAGUCGAGCGAAUGGAUUGAGAGCUUGCUCUCAAGAAGUUAGCGGCGGACGGGUGAGUAACACGUGGGUAACCUGCCCAUAAGACUGGGAUAACUCCGGGAAAC
RNAcentral lists this ribosomal RNA (163 nucleotides) under Bacillus cereus. RNAcentral's name for it is "partial 16S ribosomal RNA". It matches the Rfam family "Bacterial small subunit ribosomal RNA", at positions 1 to 157 of the family's 1533-position model. The record is from RNAcentral. RNAcentral also lists the same sequence under 1 other name. Lineage: Bacteria; Bacillati; Bacillota; Bacilli; Caryophanales; Bacillaceae.